This 300-nucleotide ribosomal RNA is filed under the name uncultured Ferroglobus sp. RNAcentral's name for it is "bacterial SSU rRNA". It matches the Rfam family "Bacterial small subunit ribosomal RNA", at positions 496 to 795 of the family's 1533-position model. Lineage: Archaea; Methanobacteriati; Methanobacteriota; Archaeoglobi; Archaeoglobales; Archaeoglobaceae. The record is from RNAcentral.
GCUAACGCCGGGACAGGAGCCGGGGGAGUACGGAGGGGGGAAGCGUUAAUCUGAAGUACUGGGCGUAAAGCGUGCGCAGGCGGCUUAUUAAGUCAGAUGUGAAAUCCCUAGGCUCAACCUAGGAACUGCAUUUGAAACUAAUAAACUAGAGUAUCGUAGAGGGAGGUAGAAUUCCAGGUGUAGCGGUGAAAUGCGUAGAUAUCUGGAGGAAUACCAGUGGCGAAGGCGACCUCCUGGACGAAAACUGACGCUCAAGCACGAAAGCAUGGGGAGCAAACAGGAUUAGAUACCCGGGUAGUC